Molecule: ribosomal RNA, 494 nt
Filed under: uncultured bacterium
Lineage: Bacteria
Description: bacterial SSU rRNA
Rfam family: Bacterial small subunit ribosomal RNA
Source: RNAcentral
UUGAACGCUGGCGGCAUGCUUACACAUGCAAGUCGAACGGCAGCACGGGGGCAACCCUGGUGGCGAGUGGCGAACGGGUGAGUAAUGCAUCGGAACGUGCCCAGUUGUGGGGGAUAACCAGUCGAAAGAUUGGCUAAUACCGCAUACGACCUGAGGGUGAAAGCGGGGGACCGAAAGGCCUCGCGCGAUUGGAGCGGCCGAUGUCUGAUUAGCUAGUUGGUGAGGUAAGAGCUCACCAAGGCGACGAUCAGUAGCUGGUCUGAGAGGACGACCAGCCACACUGGGACUGAGACACGGCCCAGACUCCUACGGGAGGCAGCAGUGGGGAAUUUUGGACAAUGGGCGCAAGCCUGAUCCAGCCAUGCCGCCGUGCGGGAAGAAGGCCCUCGGGUUGUAAACCGCUUUUGUCAGGAACGAAACGGCGCUUGUUAAUACCGAGCGCUAAUGACGGUACCUGAAGAAUAAGCACCGGCUAACUACGUGCCAGCCGCCGC